This 1957-nucleotide ribosomal RNA is filed under the name human oral metagenome. RNAcentral describes it as "bacterial LSU rRNA". It matches the Rfam family "Bacterial large subunit ribosomal RNA", at positions 1095 to 2925 of the family's 2925-position model. The record is from RNAcentral.
AGGAGGUUGGCUUAGAAGCAGCCAUCCUUGAAAGAGUGCGUAAUAGCUCACUGGUUAAGUGGUGAUGCGCCGAUAAUGUAGUGGGGCUUAUAAAGUACACCGCCGAAACCGCGGCAACACACAUUGUGUGUGUUGGGUAGGGGAGCGUCGUGCAUGCGUGGAAGCUGUCACGGAAGUGGUGGUGGAGUGUGUGCGAGUGAGAAUGCAGGCAUGAGUAGCGAAAAACAUGUGGAAAACGUGUUCGCCGGAUGACUAAGGGUUCCUGGGUGAAGCUAAUCUUCCCAGGGUGAGUCGGGACCUAAGGCGAGGCCGACAGGCGUAGUCGAUGGAUAACGGGUUGAUAGUCCCGUACCCGUGUAUGCGCGACAAGUGGUGACUCGGUUGUACUAACCACCCACCACCGCGGGAUCAAUGCUUUUGGUGUUGGUUUGGUGUGUGGUGCGUGGGAUCUUGAUCGUUGGUAGCCAAGCGAUGGGGUGACACAGAUUGGUAGUCAAGGCCACUUAUUGGAUUGUGGUGUAAGCGUGUGGCCCGUAGGAUAGGUAAAUCCGUUCUGCAUAUAGGGUGAGGCGUGAUGCGUACCCAGAUUGUUGGGGAUGUUUGAUGUGCCUGUGCUGUCGAGAAAAGCCUCUAGCGAUGUGUGUGCACGGCCCGUACCGGAAACCGACACAGGUGGUCUGGUUGAGGAUACUAAGGCGUUCGGGUGAACUAUGGUUAAGGAACUCGGCAAAAUGCCCCCGUAACUUCGGGAGAAGGGGGGCCAUGUGCGGCAAUCACCCUUUGUGCGGUGUGCGUUGUGUGUGGCCGCAGAGAAGUGAGGGAAGCGACUGUUUAUUAAAAACACAGGUCCGUGCGAAGACGUUGCAAGUCGAGGUAUACGGACUGACGCCUGCCCGGUGCUGGAAGGUUAAGAGGACUCGUGAGCACACCCUCGUGGUGUGUGAGGCGGGUAAUUGAAGCCCCAGUAAACGGCGGUGGUAACUAUAACCAUCCUAAGGUAGCGAAAUUCCUUGUCGGGUAAGUUCCGACCUGCACGAAUGGCGUAACGACUUCCCUGCUGUCUCAACCAUAGGCCCGGUGAAAUUGCAGUACGAGUAAAGAUGCUCGUUUCGCGCGGCAGGACGAAAAGACCCCGGGACCUUUACUAUAGCUUGGUAUUGGUGUGUGCUGCAGCUUGUGUAGGAUAGGUGGGAGACGUGGAAGCAUUCACGCUAGUGGGUGUGGAGUCAUUGGUGAAAUACCACUCUGGUUGUUGUGUGCAUCUAACUGUGGGCCCUGAUCGGGUUUUGGGACAGUGCCUGGUGGGUAGUUUAACUGGGGCGGUUGCCUCCUAAAUGGUAACGGAGGCGCCCAAAGGUUCCCUCGGCUUGGUUGGUAAUCAGGUUUGUAGAGUGUAAGUGCAGUAAGGGAGCUUGACUGUGACACUGACGGGUGGAGCAGGUGCGAAAGCAGGGACUAGUGAUCCGGCAUCAACGUGUGGGUGUGGUGUCGCUCAACGGAUAAAAGGUACCCCGGGGAUAACAGGCUGAUCUUCCCCAAGAGUUCAUAUCGACGGGAUGGUUUGGCACCUCGAUGUCGGCUCGUCGCAUCCUGGGGCUGGAGUAGGUCCCAAGGGUUGGGCUGUUCGCCCAUUAAAGCGGCACGCGAGCUGGGUUUAGAACGUCGUGAGACAGUUCGGUCUCUAUCCGCCGCGCGCGUGGAAACUUGAACAAGGCUGUCCCUAGUACGAGAGGACCGGGAUGGACGUACCUCUAGUGUGCCAGUUGUCACGCCGGUGGCAUGGCUGGUUGGCUAUGUGCGGGAGGGAUAACCGCUGAAAGCAUCUAAGCGGGAAGCCUGUUGUGAGAUGAGGUUUCUGUUGAGGUUCCCUCAAGAUGAGGGGGUUGAUAGGUCGGAGUUGGAAGCAUCGCAAGGUGUUGUGAGAUGACCGAUACUAAUAUAACCGACACAAACACAC